AGCAGCCGCGGUAAUUCCAGCUCCAAUAGCGUAUAUUAAAGUUGUUGCAGUUAAAAAGCUCGUAGUUGAACUUCGGGGUUCACCCAUUGGUCAGGCUUAAUUGUCUGUACUGGUGAGAUGAAUCUCUACCUUCUGAGGAACUUUCAUGCCAUUUAUUUGGUGUGAUGGGAAAUCAGGACUGUUACUUUGAAAAAAUUAGAGUGUUUAAAGCAGGCUAACGUCUGAAUACAUUAGCAUGGAAUAAUGAAAUAGGACGGAUUGAUUCUAUUUCGUUGGUUUCUAGGGUCACCGUAAUGAUUAAUAGGGAUAGUUGGGGGCAUUAGUAUUCAAUUGUCAGAGGUGAAAUUCUUGGAUUUAUUGAAGACUAACUACUGCGAAAGCAUUUGCCAAGGAUGUUUUCAUUAAUCAAGAACGAAAGUUAGGGGAUCGAAGACGAUCAGAUACCGUCGU
This 450-nucleotide ribosomal RNA is filed under the name uncultured Diversispora. RNAcentral's name for it is "SSU rRNA". It matches the Rfam family "Eukaryotic small subunit ribosomal RNA", at positions 569 to 1021 of the family's 1831-position model. Lineage: Eukaryota; Fungi; Glomeromycota; Glomeromycetes; Diversisporales; Diversisporaceae. The record is from RNAcentral.